Molecule: long non-coding RNA, 506 nt
Organism: Coccinella septempunctata (seven-spotted ladybird)
Lineage: Eukaryota; Metazoa; Arthropoda; Insecta; Coleoptera; Coccinellidae
Exons: 3
Source: RefSeq, a predicted model, not a curated record
UCGGCGUUUUCAAGAUCAGUAUCGAUCCGAUAUUCGAGCAUACAGGUAACCAUCCCGAAAAUCGUGCAGGAAGGAUGUUUUUCACCAGGAUCUUCGAGAGCUCCCCCAGCUUCCUCCGCCAGAAAGUCCGUCGUAACGACAUGAUCGGUACAAUUAGAGAAAUGAACGAGGUGCUGUGUCUGUUCGUCAUGGCGACGUCUAUAUUUAGACUCACCAAGGAUUUUCAGUGAAACUGCGACCGGGACGGGGUGCUGUGGAUGAUGGGUAGCCGUUUGGGAUGGUGCCGAAGGGGUCCGAAGCAGGUUUCAUCUAGAGGAGUAAUUGAUCUUGUUUUCUCCAACAAAGACAAUAGAACAACCUUAAUGGACGGUUGUACAAGAUAGAAGGCAUCUCAAUACUUCUAGGUACUGUUAAAGUGGAAAGUAAAUGAAAAAAUCGACUGGCUGAUAUAAAUAUGUAGUGAUUCUAGUAGUUAUAGUUCAACCAAUAAAAUACUGUCGAAAUUA